RNAcentral lists this transfer RNA (57 nucleotides) under Schistocephalus solidus. It matches the Rfam family "tRNA", at positions 1 to 55 of the family's 71-position model. Rfam says of the family: Transfer RNA (tRNA) molecules are approximately 80 nucleotides in length. Their secondary structure includes four short double-helical elements and three loops (D, anti-codon, and T loops). Further hydrogen bonds mediate the characteristic L-shaped molecular structure. tRNAs have two regions of fundamental functional importance: the anti-codon, which is responsible for specific mRNA codon recognition, and the 3' end, to which the tRNAs corresponding amino acid is attached (by aminoacyl-tRNA synthetases). tRNAs cope with the degeneracy of the genetic code in two manners: having more than one tRNA (with a specific anti-codon) for a particular amino acid; and 'wobble' base-pairing, i.e. permitting non-standard base-pairing at the 3rd anti-codon position. Lineage: Eukaryota; Metazoa; Platyhelminthes; Cestoda; Diphyllobothriidea; Diphyllobothriidae. The record is from Rfam by way of RNAcentral.
GAAUUUGUGGCUCAAUGGUUAGAGCGUUGGACUUCUAAUCAACAGGUCGCGUGUUCA